ACCAUCACAGAAGACGAAGUGGGAGUACCACACAAUGCUGUGAGAGACAGAGCGAGAGAGUAUGCACAUUCAUACAGCCUUUAUUACAAUAUUCUGUUCAUCAUAAUAGUCCAAUCCAAGUAUCAUCUAUCACUCCCAGGUGGAAAAGCUGCUAAAACUACCAAGAAGGCAAGCAAGAAGUGAACACUGAGGCUAACAAGAGUCCUGGGCUCUGCCAGGUUUCAGGACUAAGAGCUGCCCAAAGACUUUCUUUUCUGGAGAAGGAGGAACCAUGACAGAUAGUCAUGGGGCAAGGAUGCCAACAUCAAGUUCCUGAGAAAGACUGUAUUUCCAGAAAGGAAAGAACUCACUUGCAUGAGUACUCCUGGUGCCCAUGACAAACCUCAGGAUGAGAAUAAUCAAAGGAAAAAAACGAAAUGAACAAGACAGCACAAUUAUACAUCACCAAACCAUGCAGGCAAGAACAAAAGCUUAGGAAAUAAUGAAGCCACAAGAUGAAGCUGGCCUAGUGAAUAAAGUCAUGGAACAAACUGA
Suricata suricatta (meerkat) is the source of this 534-nucleotide long non-coding RNA. RefSeq lists it as uncharacterized. The record is from RefSeq and is a predicted model, not a curated record. The transcript is spliced from 2 exons. Lineage: Eukaryota; Metazoa; Chordata; Mammalia; Carnivora; Herpestidae.